RNAcentral lists this ribosomal RNA (558 nucleotides) under Triticum aestivum (bread wheat). Its description in RNAcentral is "partial small subunit ribosomal RNA". Lineage: Eukaryota; Viridiplantae; Streptophyta; Magnoliopsida; Poales; Poaceae. The record is from RNAcentral.
AUGUUCCAGGAGUUGAAGUUAAUAUUUCAAGCAAAUGCCCGAAUUGAGAGAUAUGAAGUCUCUAAUAAGUUCUAUAGCUGCAAGAUGGAGGAGAAUAGUUCUGUCAGUGAACACAUACUCAAAAUGUCUGGGUAUAAUAAUCACUUGAUUCAACUGGGAGUUAAUCUUCCUGAUGAUAGUGUCAUUGACAGAAUUCUUCAAUCACUGCCACCAAGCUACAAGAGCUUCGUGAUGAACUAUAACAUGCAAGGGAUGGACAAGACUAUUCCCGAACUCUUCGCAAUGCUAAAAGCCGCGGAGAUAGAAAUCAAGAAGGAGCAUCAAGUAUUGUUGGUUAACAAGACCACCAGUUUCAAGAAAAAGGGCAAAGGGAAGAAGAAGGGGAACUUCAAGAAGAACAGCAAACAAGUUGUUGCUCAAGAGAAGAAACCCAAGUCUGGACCUAAGCCUGAGACUGAGUGCUUCUACUGCAAGCAGACUGGACACUGGAAGCGGAAUUGCUCCAAGUAUUUGGCGGAUAAGAAGGAUGGCAAAGUGAACAAAGGGACUACGGAUUAA